UUGUUCGGAAUUACUGGGCGUAAAGGGCGCGUAGGCGGCCUGCUAAGUCAGACGUGAAAUCCCUCGGCUUAACCGGGGAACUGCGUCUGAUACUGGAUGGCUUGAGUUUGGGAGAGGGACGCGGAAUUCCAGGUGUAGCGGUGAAAUGCGUAGAUAUCUGGAGGAACACCGGUGGCGAAGGCGGCGUCCUGGACAAAUACUGACACUGAGGAGCGAAAGCCAGGGGAGCAAACGGG
Molecule: ribosomal RNA, 236 nt
Filed under: uncultured bacterium
Lineage: Bacteria
Description: partial 16S ribosomal RNA
Rfam family: Bacterial small subunit ribosomal RNA
Source: RNAcentral